This is a long non-coding RNA of Helianthus annuus (common sunflower), 461 nucleotides long. RefSeq lists it as uncharacterized. Lineage: Eukaryota; Viridiplantae; Streptophyta; Magnoliopsida; Asterales; Asteraceae. The transcript has 3 exons. The record is from RefSeq and is a predicted model, not a curated record.
ACACCCAAGUGUGUGUUCUGGUCGUGAGUUCUAACAGGAGAAAAAGGGGUUUCCCUAAUGAACCCUAAAAUACACAAAAUCAACCAAAUCAAGAGGGCAAAUCAAGUCUAAAUCGAAAACCAAGCUAGGAUUAGUGAUCACUCGGGCUAGAGGAUCACAAGUUUGACACUAAACAAGCUAGGAAGGAGCUUGGAAAGAAACGGGUCAAACGGAUGAUGAUUGCGAAGAACGUUUGUGCGGACGCGAGGUGAAUGUUAUAUGCUUCCGGAUGAAGAUCAAGCCACGAGCAAGAACCGAACACAUCUCUCAAUGAAGCUUCCGCAUUCGAUCUUGUUUUGUUUUAAUAAAAGUGGAUUAUGUAAACACUUUUAACGAUGUUUUGGAUGUUGUAAACAUGUUUAAAUACUUAUGAUGUAAAAGUUUUGUUAAGUGGCAUUUUUCAUAUAAAAUGCUUACUUUAA